RNAcentral lists this ribosomal RNA (2353 nucleotides) under Salmonella enterica. RNAcentral's name for it is "partial 23S ribosomal RNA". It matches the Rfam family "Bacterial large subunit ribosomal RNA", at positions 593 to 2925 of the family's 2925-position model. The record is from RNAcentral. Lineage: Bacteria; Pseudomonadati; Pseudomonadota; Gammaproteobacteria; Enterobacterales; Enterobacteriaceae. RNAcentral also lists the same sequence under 2 other names.
GUGACUGCGUACCUUUUGUAUAAUGGGUCAGCGACUUAUAUUCUGUAGCAAGGUUAACCGAAUAGGGGAGCCGGAGGGAAACCGAGUCUUAAUUGGGCGUUAAGUUGCAGGGUAUAGACCCGAAACCCGGUGAUCUAGCCAUGGGCAGGUUGAAGGUUGGGUAACACUAACUGGAGGACCGAACCGACUAAUGUUGAAAAAUUAGCGGAUGACCUGUGGCUGGGGGUGAAAGGCCAAUCAAACCGGGAGAUAGCUGGUUCUCCCCGAAAGCUAUUUAGGUAGCGCCUCGUGAAUUCAUCUCCGGGGGUAGAGCACUGUUUCGGCUAGGGGGCCAUCCCGGCUUACCAACCCGAUGCAAACUGCGAAUACCGGAGAAUGUUAUCACGGGAGACACACGGCGGGUGCUAACGUCCGUCGUGAAGAGGGAAACAACCCAGACCGCCAGCUAAGGUCCCAAAGUCAUGGUUAAGUGGGAAACGAUGUGGGAAGGCCCAGACAGCCAGGAUGUUGGCUUAGAAGCAGCCAUCAUUUAAAGAAAGCGUAAUAGCUCACUGGUCGAGUCGGCCUGCGCGGAAGAUGUAACGGGGCUAAACCAUGCACCGAAGCUGCGGCAGCGACACUGUGUGUUGUUGGGUAGGGGAGCGUUCUGUAAGCCUGUGAAGGUGUGUCGUGAGGCAUGCUGGAGGUAUCAGAAGUGCGAAUGCUGACAUAAGUAACGAUAAAGCGGGUGAAAAGCCCGCUCGCCGGAAGACCAAGGGUUCCUGUCCAACGUUAAUCGGGGCAGGGUGAGUCGACCCCUAAGGCGAGGCCGAAAGGCGUAGUCGAUGGGAAACGGGUUAAUAUUCCCGUACUUGGUGUUACUGCGAAGGGGGGACGGAGAAGGCUAUGUUGGCCGGGCGACGGUUGUCCCGGUUUAAGCGUGUAGGUGUGUGUUCCAGGUAAAUCCGGUUCACUUUAACACUGAGGCGUGACGACGAGGCACUACGGUGCUGAAGCAACAAAUGCCCUGCUUCCAGGAAAAGCCUCUAAGCAUCAGGUAACAUCAAAUCGUACCCCAAACCGACACAGGUGGUCAGGUAGAGAAUACCAAGGCGCUUGAGAGAACUCGGGUGAAGGAACUAGGCAAAAUGGUGCCGUAACUUCGGGAGAAGGCACGCUGACACGUAGGUGAAGUGAUUUACUCAUGGAGCUGAAGUCAGUCGAAGAUACCAGCUGGCUGCAACUGUUUAUUAAAAACACAGCACUGUGCAAACACGAAAGUGGACGUAUACGGUGUGACGCCUGCCCGGUGCCGGAAGGUUAAUUGAUGGGGUCAGCGCAAGCGAAGCUCCUGAUCGAAGCCCCGGUAAACGGCGGCCGUAACUAUAACGGUCCUAAGGUAGCGAAAUUCCUUGUCGGGUAAGUUCCGACCUGCACGAAUGGCGUAAUGAUGGCCAGGCUGUCUCCACCCGAGACUCAGUGAAAUUGAACUCGCUGUGAAGAUGCAGUGUACCCGCGGCAAGACGGAAAGACCCCGUGAACCUUUACUAUAGCUUGACACUGAACAUUGAGCCUUGAUGUGUAGGAUAGGUGGGAGGCUUUGAAGUGUGGACGCCAGUCUGCAUGGAGCCGACCUUGAAAUACCACCCUUUAAUGUUUGAUGUUCUAACGUGGACCCGUUACCCGGGUUGCGGACAGUGUCUGGUGGGUAGUUUGACUGGGGCGGUCUCCUCCUAAAGAGUAACGGAGGAGCACGAAGGUUGGCUAAUCCUGGUCGGACAUCAGGAGGUUAGUGCAAUGGCAUAAGCCAGCUUGACUGCGAGCGUGACGGCGCGAGCAGGUGCGAAAGCAGGUCAUAGUGAUCCGGUGGUUCUGAAUGGAAGGGCCAUCGCUCAACGGAUAAAAGGUACUCCGGGGAUAACAGGCUGAUACCGCCCAAGAGUUCAUAUCGACGGCGGUGUUUGGCACCUCGAUGUCGGCUCAUCACAUCCUGGGGCUGAAGUAGGUCCCAAGGGUAUGGCUGUUCGCCAUUUAAAGUGGUACGCGAGCUGGGUUUAGAACGUCGUGAGACAGUUCGGUCCCUAUCUGCCGUGGGCGCUGGAGAACUGAGGGGGGCUGCUCCUAGUACGAGAGGACCGGAGUGGACGCAUCACUGGUGUUCGGGUUGUCAUGCCAAUGGCACUGCCCGGUAGCUAAAUGCGGAAGAGAUAAGUGCUGAAAGCAUCUAAGCACGAAACUUGCCCCGAGAUGAGUUCUCCCUGAGACUUAAAGUCUCCUGAAGGAACGUUGAAGACGACGACGUUGAUAGGCCGGGUGUGUAAGCGCAGCGAUGCGUUGAGCUAACCGGUACUAAUGAACCGUGAGGCUUAACCUU